UGGGGAAUAUUGCGCAAUGGACGAAAGUCUGACGCAGCGACGCCGCGUGAGGGAAGAAGGCCUUCGGGUCGUAAACCUCUGUCAGGAGGGAAGAACCCCUUGGAUUCGAAUAGGGUCCUUGGCUGACGGUACCUCCAAAGGAAGCACCGGCUAACUCCGUGCCAGCAGCCGCGGUAAUACGGAGGGGGCGAGCGUGAAUCGGAAUCACUGGGCGUAAAGCGCGCGUAGGCGGCUUGGCAAGUCAGGCGUGAAAUCCCUCGGCCUAACCGGGGAACUGCGUUUGAAACG
RNAcentral lists this ribosomal RNA (288 nucleotides) under uncultured prokaryote. RNAcentral describes it as "partial 16S ribosomal RNA". It matches the Rfam family "Bacterial small subunit ribosomal RNA", at positions 355 to 634 of the family's 1533-position model. The record is from RNAcentral.